Molecule: ribosomal RNA, 254 nt
Filed under: uncultured bacterium
Lineage: Bacteria
Description: partial 16S ribosomal RNA
Rfam family: Bacterial small subunit ribosomal RNA
Source: RNAcentral
GACAGAGGGGGCAAGCGUUGUCCGGAUUUAUUGGGCGUAAAGAGCUCGUAGGCGGUUCGGUAAGUUGGGUGUGAAACCUCCAGGCUCAACCUGGAGACGCCACCCGAUACUGCUGUGACUAGAGUCCGGUAGGGGAGCGUGGAAUUCCUGGUGUAGCGGUGAAAUGCGCAGAUACCAGGAGGAACACCAGCGGCGAAGGCGGCGCUCUGGGCCGGAACUGACGCUGAGGAGCGAAAGCGUGGGUAGCAAACAGG